Molecule: long non-coding RNA, 657 nt
Filed under: Bemisia tabaci
Lineage: Eukaryota; Metazoa; Arthropoda; Insecta; Hemiptera; Aleyrodidae
Description: lncRNA ENSSSA2NGG000266
Source: RNAcentral
GCUGCCUCUACCAAAAUACAAUUUUUUGAAGCACAUUAAUUGUCAUUGUUUUGUUCUUCUUUUUCAGAAUGCCUCGUGCUAUUAUAUCCUGGCGAAACGGGCCAUCAAACACAGAUUUCCAAAUCAAUUGGACAAUGGUUUUCUCAGUUUGCCACAGAAGAAACAAAGUAAGUUUACCUGUCCCCCUCUGUUCACUUUACCCUAUGAAUGACUAACUUUGUUCAUAAAUUAUACAAUUAUCAGAACAGUCAGAAUCAUCAGAUAUGAUUCGUAAUAGUCGAUGUUUAUUUUUACGGUUGCACUUGGAUAUUGUCCUUUUUCAAGGAUGGCUGCUAAAUACCAGUUUCCAUCCAUUUGUGUGUCCUAAUAGAAUUUUUGACUUUUUAUUCUGCUGCCCUACAAUAUUAUGAAAGCUGUGUUCAACUGAAAAAUUCAAAAUACAAAUAUCAUUUGCACAAAGGUAAGAAAAGACAGAAGCAGGGAAGCACGAGUUUGAGACAAAAAGGCUGUCAAGUAGCAGCCAGUCAUCUUCAAGCUCUGAUGAAAAGUCGGAAAUCUUGGGAGGCUUCUCCGAAGGGUCAGCCACUCCGUAAAUGGCCUGCAAAUAAAACAUUAGUGACAGCGGCCAGCGCAAGUCUUGCACUCGCUGCUACUUGC